GAAGAUGCCAAGAUGGAACCAACCCUAGAAGCACAUCGUCUUGGUCCUAAACGUUAAAUAUCUCCCACUUACCCUACACAUGCAAGUAUCCGCACUCCAGUGCCCAAGCCCCUGCCGGAGCAGACAUCAGGCACGUCCAUACAGACAGCCCAUAACGUCUAGCCUAUGCCACACCCCCACGGAACCCAGCAGUGACUAACAUUAAGCUAUGAGCCAAUUAAGUCUUUAGCUCGACUUAGGUAUAGUACUCAUCGAGUCGGUAAACCCCGUGCCAGCCACCGCGGUUAUACGGCGGACUCAAGAUAAUACCCCCUCGGCGUAAAAUGUGACUAGAAAAACUACUUUCUCUACUACGGGCACUAAAACUCAGAGCAAAGGCGUAAAACACCACCCCUCAACAGAACCACAGCCUGCUGCCCAAAAGACAAACCAAUUUGACCUCACUAAAUCUAAGACACAAACUAGGAUUAGAUACCCUACUAUGCUUAGCACCCACCCAAGGCAUUAUACUCAACCCACUGCCCGCCAGAGAACUACAAGUGAAAAACUUAAAACUCAAAAGACUUGACGGCGUUCCACCCACCCUAGAGGAGCCUGUCCUACAAUCGAUAACCCACGUUCCACCCAACCUGUCCUUGCACCAUAAAUCAGCCUAUAUACCGCCGUCUUCAGCCCGCCUUGCAAAAGAACAACCAGCGGACUAAACCGCCACUACACAAAUACGUCAGGUCAAGGUGUAGCCAACGGACAGGGAGAGAUGGGCUACAUUUUCUGACCCCAGAAAUAACCUACAACACCAUGAAAUACGUGCAAAAAAGGUGGAUUUAGUAGUAAAUCGCGCAAGACUGCCCAAUUGAACUCAGCCAUGGAACGCGUACACACCGCCCGUCACCCUCAUCAAUCAAACUAAAUAUAGCUAACUAACUCACUCUUAACCCAUCCAGAUGAGACAGUCGU
This 957-nucleotide ribosomal RNA is filed under the name Hemidactylus coalescens. RNAcentral's name for it is "partial 12S ribosomal RNA". The record is from RNAcentral. Lineage: Eukaryota; Metazoa; Chordata; Lepidosauria; Squamata; Gekkonidae.